Molecule: ribosomal RNA, 821 nt
Filed under: uncultured Campylobacter sp.
Lineage: Bacteria; Pseudomonadati; Campylobacterota; Epsilonproteobacteria; Campylobacterales; Campylobacteraceae
Description: bacterial SSU rRNA
Rfam family: Bacterial small subunit ribosomal RNA
Source: RNAcentral
GGGCGCGUAGGCGGAUUAUCAAGUCUCUUGUGAAAUCUAAUGGCUUAACCAUUAAACUGCUUGGGAAACUGAUAGUCUAGAGUGAGGGAGAGGCAGAUGGAAUUGGUGGUGUAGGGGUAAAAUCCGUAGAUAUCACCAAGAAUACCCAUUGCGAAGGCGAUCUGCUGGAACUCAACUGACGCUAAGGCGCGAAAGCGUGGGGAGCAAACAGGAUUAGAUACCCUGGUAGUCCACGCCCUAAACGAUGUACACUAGUUGUUGGGGUGCUAGUCAUCUCAGUAAUGCAGCUAACGCAUUAAGUGUACCGCCUGGGGAGUACGGUCGCAAGAUUAAAACUCAAAGGAAUAGACGGGGACCCGCACAAGCGGUGGAGCAUGUGGUUUAAUUCGAAGAUACGCGAAGAACCUUACCUGGGCUUGAUAUCCUAAGAACCUUUUAGAGAUAAGAGGGUGCUAGCUUGCUAGAACUUAGAGACAGGUGCUGCACGGCUGUCGUCAGCUCGUGUCGUGAGAUGUUGGGUUAAGUCCCGCAACGAGCGCAACCCACGUAUUUAGUUGCUAACGGUUCGGCCGAGCACUCUAAAUAGACUGCCUUCGUAAGGAGGAGGAAGGUGUGGACGACGUCAAGUCAUCAUGGCCCUUAUGCCCAGGGCGACACACGUGCUACAAUGGCAUAUACAAUGAGACGCAAUACCGCGAGGUGGAGCAAAUCUAUAAAAUAUGUCCCAGUUCGGAUUGUUCUCUGCAACUCGAGAGCAUGAAGCCGGAAUCGCUAGUAAUCGUAGAUCAGCCAUGCUACGGUGAAUACGUUCCCGGGUCUUG